Molecule: long non-coding RNA, 864 nt
Filed under: Homo sapiens (human)
Lineage: Eukaryota; Metazoa; Chordata; Mammalia; Primates; Hominidae
Description: non-protein coding lnc-IDH3A-1:1
Source: RNAcentral
GGGGAAUCCAACAGUCAGACCGGGCCCAGACAAGGGAGGCCAGACACUGCGGUGCUGCGGGAGUGGAGUGGGCUGCUCUCGGGAGCAAGGGGUCCCAAGUUCAAUUUGGGCCUCACCAUGUCUCAGAUCUUUUUAUAGGCCCUUGGAAAGUUCCCAGCCCAGUACCUGGCCAUUGUCCUAAGGAUAAAAUAGAACCACCUGUGUUUGGUGGGAGAAGGGCUGAGGGGGACCUCUCUGGACACUGCCCUCCCCAACCAGCAGCCAUGUAGAAAGAUGGCAAGACGAAGUCACUCAGUGGCCUUGAGGGACCAAAAGGAUCACGAUAACAUUGGUGACUUCUCUGGACCAGCCAUAGCCCUCUCCGCUGGUUUUUCCUGCAUGCUGGGGGCCUCAAAAUGACUGAAAUUGAAAAUAUUAUUCAUUCAUUUAUUCAGUAUUUACUGAGCCAUAAAUCAAUACAACGCUUAACGAAAGCAAUUUGGCAUCAUCUGCUAAAAUGACAACUGCAAAUACCCUUUGAUUCAGCGAUUCCACUUUCGAGAAUGUGUUUCAUGGAUGUAUUUAUUCUUACACUUAAUCAAAUCCAUAUAAGGUUAUCCAUUGCUGCAUUUUCAGGAAUUAAAAAAAAUUGGAAACAACUCAAAUGACCAUCAAUAGAGGACUGGUUACAAAAAUUAUUAUGUAUUCAUACAAUGGAAUAAUAUGCAGCUGUGAAAAUAAGAAUGGCACCCCUCUCUUUAGUCUUGUGGAAGGAGUGCCAAGAUACACUGUUGAAUUUUUUUUACAAGGCAAGGUGCAGAAUGCUGUAUAGUACUCUAUCUUUUAUGUAAGAAGAUGGGGAAAAUGUGGCUGAGAGAUGAGAAA